Molecule: ribosomal RNA, 253 nt
Filed under: uncultured bacterium
Lineage: Bacteria
Description: partial 16S ribosomal RNA
Rfam family: Bacterial small subunit ribosomal RNA
Source: RNAcentral
UACGUAGGGAGCAAGCGUUGUCCGGAAUCAUUGGGCGUAAAGCGCGCGUAGGUGGCUUCGUAAGUCCGUUGUGAAAGUCAAAGGCUCAACCUUUGAAAGCCGAUGGAUACUGUGAAGCUAGAGUACGGAAGAGGCGAGUGGAAUUCCUGGUGUAGCGGUGAAAUGCGCAGAUAUCAGGAGGAACACCUAUUGCGAAGGCAGCUCGCUGGGACGUUACUGACGCUGAGACGCGAAAGCGUGGGGAGCAAACAGG